GAGGGUAGAGCUCAGUGGUUAGAGUUCAUGCUUAGCCUGCCUGAGGCCCUGGGUUCAAUCCCUGGUACCUCCA
This 73-nucleotide transfer RNA is filed under the name Camelus bactrianus (Bactrian camel). It matches the Rfam family "tRNA". From Rfam's summary of the family: Transfer RNA (tRNA) molecules are approximately 80 nucleotides in length. Their secondary structure includes four short double-helical elements and three loops (D, anti-codon, and T loops). The record is from Rfam by way of RNAcentral. RNAcentral also lists the same sequence under 2 other names. Lineage: Eukaryota; Metazoa; Chordata; Mammalia; Artiodactyla; Camelidae.